This 425-nucleotide ribosomal RNA is filed under the name uncultured bacterium. RNAcentral describes it as "partial 16S ribosomal RNA". It matches the Rfam family "Bacterial small subunit ribosomal RNA", at positions 354 to 796 of the family's 1533-position model. The record is from RNAcentral.
GUGGGGAAUCUUGCGCAAUGGGCGAAAGCCUGACGCAGCCAUGCCGCGUGAAUGAUGAAGGUCUUAGGAUUGUAAAAUUCUUUCACCGGGGACGAUAAUGACGGUACCCGGAGAAGAAGCUCCGGCUAACUUCGUGCCAGCAGCCGCGGUAAUACGAAGGGGGCUAGCGUUGCUCGGAAUUACUGGGCGUAAAGGGCGCGUAGGCGGACAGCUUAGUCAGAGGUGAAAGCCCAGGGCUCAACCUUGGAAUUGCCUUUGAUACUGGCUGUCUUGAGUACGGGAGAGGUGAGUGGAACUCCGAGUGUAGAGGUGAAAUUCGUAGAUAUUCGGAAGAACACCAGUGGCGAAGGCGACUCACUGGCCCAAUACUGACGCUGAGGCGCGAAAGCGUGGGGAGCAAACAGGAUUAGAUACCCCAGUAGUCC